UUAAUUGAAGAGUUUGAUCAUGGCUCAGAUUGAACGCUGGCGGCAGGCCUAACACAUGCAAGUCGAGCGGCAGCACAGAGGAACUUGUUCCUUGGGUGGCGAGCGGCGGACGGGUGAGUAAUGCCUGGGAAAUUGCCCGGUAGAGGGGGAUAACC
RNAcentral lists this ribosomal RNA (155 nucleotides) under Vibrio cholerae. Its description in RNAcentral is "partial 16S ribosomal RNA". It matches the Rfam family "Bacterial small subunit ribosomal RNA", at positions 1 to 148 of the family's 1533-position model. The record is from RNAcentral. Lineage: Bacteria; Pseudomonadati; Pseudomonadota; Gammaproteobacteria; Vibrionales; Vibrionaceae.